Molecule: ribosomal RNA, 253 nt
Filed under: uncultured bacterium
Lineage: Bacteria
Description: partial 16S ribosomal RNA
Rfam family: Bacterial small subunit ribosomal RNA
Source: RNAcentral
GACAGAGGGUGCAAACGUUGUUCGGAAUUACUGGGCGUAAAGCGCGUGUAGGCGGUCCGGUAAGUCCGCUGUGAAAGUCGGGGGCUCAACCCUCGAAUGCCGGUGGAUACUGUCGGGCUAGAGUGCGGAAGAGGCGAGUGGAAUUCCUGGUGUAGCGGUGAAAUGCGCAGAUAUCAGGAGGAACACCAAUUGCGAAGGCAGCUCGCUGGGACGUUACUGACGCUGAGACGCGAAAGCGUGGGGAGCAAACAGG